This 334-nucleotide unclassified non-coding RNA is filed under the name soil metagenome. Its description in RNAcentral is "partial contains 5.8S ribosomal RNA, internal transcribed spacer 2, and large subunit ribosomal RNA". The stretch from base 1 to 120 matches the Rfam family "5.8S ribosomal RNA", at positions 35 to 154 of the family's 154-position model. The record is from RNAcentral.
GAUGAAGAACGUAGCGAAAUGCGAUAAGUAAUGUGAAUUGCAGAAUUCAGUGAAUCAUCGAAUCUUUGAACGCACAUUGCGCCCCCCAGUAUUCUGGCGGGCAUGCCUGUUCGAGCGUCAUUUCAACCAUCAAGCCCUGCUUGUGUUGGGGUCCUGCGGCUGCCCGCAGGCCCUGAAAACCAGUGGCGGGCUCGCUAGUCACACCGAGCGCAGUAGCACAUCUCGCUCAGGGCGUGCGGCGGGCUCCAGCCGUUAAAGCACCCACCAUUCGCAAGGUUGACCUCGGAUCAGGUAGGAAUACCCGCUGAACUUAAGCAUAUCAAUAAGCGGAGGA